AUGGACCUCCCUCUGCUCUCACCAAUGCCAUGUACCGAGCUUGCUCUCCUCCUCGAGCCAAAUGCUCCCGCCCAACAACCAGUUUCCUGCCCCAGCGACCUGUCCUCCAUGUAUUGUGGUCUAACAUUUGCCUCGGUAAUCUUUAAUAUAAUUAGAUUUCACCGCAUGAUGUUCUUUACCCCAGCCGAGCAUAGUGUGCUGCCGCGCCGUCGAUUUCCACGAAGUGGCCAGCCCGAGCCGAUUCCCCAAUGUGUCAAUGACUACGUCCGCUGCGUGAUCCUGUGGGACAUGACCAAUCCAUUGCCUUAUCAACACAUCGAGAGCUUUGAGCAAACGAUUGCGAUUUUGUAG
This 351-nucleotide ribosomal RNA is filed under the name Triticum aestivum (bread wheat). RNAcentral describes it as "partial small subunit ribosomal RNA". Lineage: Eukaryota; Viridiplantae; Streptophyta; Magnoliopsida; Poales; Poaceae. The record is from RNAcentral.